Molecule: ribosomal RNA, 468 nt
Filed under: uncultured bacterium
Lineage: Bacteria
Description: partial 16S ribosomal RNA
Rfam family: Bacterial small subunit ribosomal RNA
Source: RNAcentral
GACGAACGCUGGCGGCGUGCUUAACACAUGCAAGUCGAACGGAAAGGCCCUGCUUUUGUGGGGUGCUCGAGUGGCGAACGGGUUAGUAACACGUGAGUAACCUGCCCUUGACUUUGGGAUAACUUCAGGAAAUUGGGGCUAAUACCGGAUAGUUGCUCCUGCUGCAUGGUGGGGGUUGGAAAGUUUCGGCGGUUGGGGAUGGACUCGCGGCUUAUCAGCUUGUUGGUGGGGUAGUGGCUUACCAAGGCUUUGACGGGUAGCCGGCCUGAGAGUGUGACCGGCAACAGUGGGACUGAGAUACGGACCAGACUCAGACGGGAGGCAGAAGCGGGGAAGAUGGAAAAAAGGGCGGAAGCCUGAUGCAGCAACGCCGAGGGCGGGAGAACGACCUUCGGGUUGUAAACCGAUAUCGCCUGUGACGAAGAGUGAGUGAAGGUAAUGGGUAAAGAAGCACCGGCUAACUACGUG